This 519-nucleotide ribosomal RNA is filed under the name uncultured bacterium. RNAcentral's name for it is "partial 16S ribosomal RNA". It matches the Rfam family "Bacterial small subunit ribosomal RNA", at positions 28 to 523 of the family's 1533-position model. The record is from RNAcentral.
GACGAACGCUGGCGGCGUGCUUAACACAUGCAAGUCGAACGGAGAAUUUUAUUUCGGUGAAAUUCUUAGUGGCGAACGGGUGAGUAACGCGUAGACAACCUACCUCUCAGAUGGGGACAACAUCGCGAAAGCGGUGCUAAUACCGAAUGAUGUAACUUUUCUGCAUGGAAGUGUUACCAAAGGCGGCCUCUAUUUAUAGCUGUCACUGAGAGAUGGGUCUGCGUCUGAUUAGCUAGUUGGCGGGGUAAUGGCCCACCAAGGCGACGAUCAGUAGCCGGUCUGAGAGGAUGAACGGCCACAUUGGGACUGAGACACGGCCCAAACUCCUACGGGAGGCAGCAGUGGGGAAUCUUCCGCAAUGGACGAAAGUCUGACGGAGCAACGCCGCGUGAGUGAAGAAGGUUUUCGGAUCGUAAAGCUCUGUUGUUUGAGACGAACGUGCAAUUUUUGAAUAAGGAAUUGUAAUGACGGUAUUAAACGAGAAAGCCACGGCUAACUACGUGCCAGCCGCCGCGGUAA